CGAAGGUGGUGGGUCCCUGCACCUAUGUAAGCCUCUUCCUUUUCCGCAUCGUUUGGAUGUCUAUGGACGGCACCUUCAUGAUCGAAAAGAACGCUGCACUAACGGACUCACUGAUGGAUAUGAAUUGGCUAGUAAUGACGCAGGAAGCUAAAAAGAGACGGAAGGUGCUCUUACAAAAGGCUAAACGUCCAUUCGGUGUCGAAGUGAUGGGUUUUUUCAUCGUCCAGAAUUCAAACAUCCUUUCGAUUUUGGGCUUCGUCCUGACAUA
Molecule: long non-coding RNA, 268 nt
Organism: Pollicipes pollicipes
Lineage: Eukaryota; Metazoa; Arthropoda; Thecostraca; Pollicipedomorpha; Pollicipedidae
Exons: 3
Source: RefSeq, a predicted model, not a curated record